Macaca mulatta (Rhesus monkey) is the source of this 4203-nucleotide non-coding RNA. NCBI's taxonomy places the organism in Eukaryota, Metazoa, Chordata, Mammalia, Primates, Cercopithecidae. The record is from RefSeq and is a predicted model, not a curated record.
GGGUGAUAGGGGAGGGAAGGGGAGAGGUGAGGGAGUGGACAGAGUUGGGGGAGGAGCGGGAUAAGGGAGAGGUGAGAGACAGGGACACAGAGUGGUGGAAGGAGAGGGAUGUUGGGGGUGUGGGGGGUAGGGCCCGAGGACGGGGGACGCGCUGGGGGAGGACCCGCGGGAGCGGAGUCGCGGGCCGCGGCGGCGGGGACGCCUCCCGCAUUUUUUACCUACUUUGGUGCGAUUCCCGCCGCCCUCCCCUGAUUGGCCCAGCCUGGCUUGUCCUGCCCUCGCGUGAGGGGAAAAAAAUCUGCACAUUUUUCCUCCUUCCCGAGGCGACCGUGGCCAUGCAGAGUGCUCUGUGAGUCACCGUUAAUUUCAGGUGAUGCUGAAGAUGCCAGUCCAAGGCCACACUCCUGAGCUGAGAAGGAACCCCCCUGUAUCCUACUGCAGCUGGAACCCUCUGCUUUUCUGUUUGCAUAGGACCCUGUGGCCUCUACACUUCUUAAUGUUCAGACUUCCUUUCUAGUCCAAAAAUGGGGUAAGGUGAAGAGACUUUCCUUGGGAGCCCAGAGGAGUACAGGAUCUGAUCCCAAGCCCUUUACCAUCAGGCCACAUGACACAGCACCUGUGAGUGAGGCUGAACAAGAGAAAUGAGAUUUGACAGAUGUUUCCUGAAGUCCUACUGUGUGCCAGCUGUGGCCGUGUUAGCUACCAGGAAUAUGAAGAUGAAUAAGGAGAUCACAAGUGAAAACAGAAAUGCCAAGAUAAACUUGGCCCAGGUUCCCUUGGGAAUUCUCAGGAUCCUACCUGGUGCAGCAGAUCACACCAGGGAGAUGUUACUGGAUCUUUGAUGAGUGGAGCAUCCACAGAGGAAGGAAGUGAGUGUUUGUUAAUGACAUCAUUCCUCACUUAUGUUGGCGAAUAUGAAUAUAGAAGAGAUGGCUAGAGAGUUUAUUCAAAGUUGGAUAUUUGGAGGAAGAGCAUGCCUGAUGUUCCUACCAAAAAAAAAUUAGACCCUAUGGACCAAGAUACAUAAGAUAGAUGUAGAUAUGUAAUGGGUUUCCUUUUUGUUUUUUUAUUUUUUUGGGAUCUGCUCUGGCUUACUUCCUAAUUUUCCUGUCUUCUUGGGGGUAGGAGGAGGGAUAUCAAAUGAUGGUUCAGCCAAAGAAAGCCAGCUCUUCCUGAUGAGGGAACUCUGAGUUGUAUUCAAGGAAAACAAACACCAAAAACAGAUAGCCAAAGGCCAAUGGUCAUGAUUUGAAAUUUGAGUGCCUUUUACUGUAACUGUUUUGCUCCAGUAUUUCCAUUACCAGUCCUUCGGUGAGGUCUUCAACUCUAGAUCAGAGUUCCCCAACAUUUUUGGCAUCAGGGACUGGUUUUGUGGAAGACAAUAUUUCCACAGACGGGCGGCAGGGGGAUGGUGGGGGCGCGGUGGUUUCAGGAUGAAACUGUUCCACGUCAGAUCAUCUGGCAUUAGAUUCUUACAAGGAGCGUGCAACCUAGAUCCACUGCAUGAGCAGUUCACGAUAGGGUUCCCAGUCCUGUGAGAAUCUAAUGCCACCACUGAUCUGACAGGAGGUGGAGCUCAGGUGGUCAUGCUCACUCACCGAAUUCCUAACAGGCCAUGGACCAAUACUGGUUUACUGGUUCACCUGUAAACUCAAGAUGUUGACUAAUUUGACGCCUUUAGUUUAGAGCUCUAAAAGGUGAUGCUUGAACUCCACAGAAGAGAUACUGAGUGCCUGGCACAGUCUUAGCAAUUUGUGAAGUAUCCUGUUCUAGUAAUACUAAGGCAGGCUCUUAAAUUUUGAUUUAUAAACUCUAGGCCUUGGGCUCUAGACAAAACAGGGCUCUAGAGGGUUGUUUUUUUGUUUUGUUUUGUUUUGUUUUGUUUUAAUGGCAAAAGCAAUAAGUUGCUGUCGUUUUCUAGAUCGUAGACUUAAUGUUGUUCUCCCAACUAUCCAUGUCUGUGGAAAGGGAGCUGAUUGACACAAAAGGAGCAAACAGCAUUAGCUUCAACAUCCUUACUUGUAAAUGAGGCAAACACGUCACAUCUUGCAAUUGGUCCUGCUUUUUUUUUUUUUUCUUUUUCUUUACUUUUCUUUUUGGAAGUGGGAGUGGAGGUGAGUGGUCACUAAAUUCAGGCCCAGUCAUUAAGAGGUGGUCCCCUAGUAAAAAUUUCCACGCCGGAGGUGGAAGGAAUUGCUUGCUCAUUUUUAUUCUAUAUCCUGUGGAAAGCCUUCCCUCCCACCCCUUGAGCCAGUGAGUCACUUCCUUUCUGCAAACCUCUAAAGCUUCCUUUCUUAGCCCAGACCUGGCCCUCUGGAGAGGGUUUUGGAGUCCUGGGCAGGCAGGGCACCUCAGGCAGCAGGCAGCACACCUUGGAUGUGAGCUGAAUGGUUUUUGAAAUUUCAGAGAAGCAGCCUCCACGCAGGAGAAAGUAUAUCAGUGUUCUGAUAAAUGUCAAGUGUUGGAUUCUAGGUUCAGCAUUUUUUCUUUUUACUUUAAACAACUCUAGGAAAGAAACACCCAUAGACGGUACAGCAAGAGGGUUGCAGGUUUGUUUUAUGACUCAUGGAAAUUUCUAAAAUGAUAAAUAUUGGCUCAGCAAUAGUCUGACAUAAGACACACUCAACUAGAGCACCAUGGUUACAAGAAACAAGAAGUGCAUAUUCGGUAAAUAAAGUGUGGCUCCACUUCCAAAAGCUUUCAGAGAGAAAAGAGCAGUGCGGAAGGCCUGGAUUCUUGAGUUUCCCUUCUUGAAUGGUCAUUUGUUUUUCCCAAGACCAGAAACUUCCCUGAGAUGACUGCAGUGUCUUCCCAGCCAGGAAGCCAUUUUAAAUGGUUUGGGUGCUAUACUUUAUUCAGUCCAGAGUCUUUUUGACUAAUAUAAUGAAAAAAUUUUACCCAUCAUAAAAAUUAAUGAGGUUGAAAAGAUAAGUAUUUUUCUCCUCAAAAAAAAAAAAGGAAAAUAAAUAUUUUUCUUGCUGAGUAAAAACCCCCAUCUUUGUGUGUAUAAGAUGUUAGGCAUCUUGGAGAGAUGUAAGGAAUCUGGAAUAUCAACUUUUCAGAUGAAAUUUAGAGAAUGUGAGCCACAAAUAAUGGCUGCGGUCCUCCUGAGUCGAGUUUUUAUUUCUUAUGAAACAAACUCAGCAUUACUUUAACUUCUCAUCAGCUGAUUUUAGUUUCUAAAGAAAAUAUAAUAGACUAAAAUUCAUACCCAAUGAAAAGGCCAUUGUAUCCACUUACUGACAGCUGGGAGUGAGCAACUCAGAUCUGCCUUUCAGCUGGGUUUUCCUGCAUAACAGGUUUAUUAACAGAGCAGCGUGACUCACAAGCAGUGUUCUUUAGAAUCACCCCCCUCCCCCAACACAUACACUGGAACCACGAUAAACACUUGGUAAGGAGGAUCUACCACAAAAUAAACUGAGGAAAGACUCAGGCUACAAUUCUAUGCUUCAAAUAAAACAGCAAAAGAGACUUUUAGGCGCAUGAAGGUCCCAGACAAGAGACCUGGAAGAAGGCACCAAAUCUGAAAAGGUGAUUCAGUGAGUCUGCUGGGUCGACCCUCCUGCAACCACUCAUGGACAUAUGGACUUCCCUUGAGCCAGGAGGGCCCAGGACUGAGUUACUAGAAUACGUUGUAGGGGACAUAGGGGGCAGAGAAAGCUAAAGCCAUUCUGUAAGCUUCUGCAGAGAAGACCCCUGGAGGUAGGGGAGAGAUGAGGUGCCCCGCAUGGUCUGCAACACCAGUGCAGGUGGGAAAGGAUAUGCAAUGAGACGCUGCAUCCAAAGGCCCUUUGACCCAGCUGCUGGGAAACGUAUCUCAAAUUUCUCCAAAGAGAAACUGCGAGGGCCAGAUUAUUCAGAGAGAUUGACGUGGGACCUGGUAUCAAUGCUGCAGAAACAGACUUCUCCUUUGCACGGCCUGGCCCUCUGUAUUUGCCCUCCAUUUGCUUUUCCACUCAUCUUAUAUUAAUCGGCAUUGCAACAGGAGGGAGCUCUCCCCACCAACGAGGCAGUGGCAGGAGUGUCUCUGCAGGUAGCCAAGGUGAUGCUGGCAGCCAGGGAGGCAGCAGUUGGGAUAGCUCUGGCAAGAACACCUCGCUGGCUGCCAGGGAGAGAGCCUGGGCCCUGGGCCAGGACACGGAUGGGCCUGGAUCAUUCUGCUGGUUGAGCCAAACACCAUUAAAAAUAAUUUCAGAAUGGAAA